AGUUUGAUCCUGGCUCAGGACGAACGCUGGCGGCGUGCUUAACACAUGCAAGUCGAACGAUGAAGCCUUUCGGGGUGGAUUAGUGGCGAACGGGUGAGUAACACGUGGGCAAUCUGCCCUUCACUCUGGGACAAGCCCUGGAAACGGGGUCUAAUACCGGAUAACACUCUGUCCCGCAUGGGACGGGGUUAAAAGCUCCGGCGGUGAAGGAUGAGCCCGCGGCCUAUCAGCUUGUUGGUGGGGUAAUGGCCUACCAAGGCGACGACGGGUAGCCGGCCUGAGAGGGCGACCGGCCACACUGGGACUGAGACACGGCCCAGACUCCUACGGGAGGCAGCAGUGGGGAAUAUUGCACAAUGGGCGAAAGCCUGAUGCAGCGACGCCGCGUGAGGGAUGACGGCCUUCGGGUUGUAAACCUCUUCAGCAGGGAAGAAGCGAAAGUGAC
RNAcentral lists this ribosomal RNA (445 nucleotides) under Streptomyces flavogriseus. RNAcentral describes it as "bacterial SSU rRNA". It matches the Rfam family "Bacterial small subunit ribosomal RNA", at positions 10 to 473 of the family's 1533-position model. Lineage: Bacteria; Bacillati; Actinomycetota; Actinomycetes; Kitasatosporales; Streptomycetaceae. The record is from RNAcentral.